CGAGAGGACCGGGAUGGACGCACCGCUGGUGUACCAGUUGUUCUGCCAAGGGCAUCGCUGGGUAGCUAUGUGCGGACGGGAUAAGUGCUGAAAGCAUCUAAGCAUGAAGCCCCCCUCAAGAUGAGAUUUCCCAUUCCGCAAGGAAGUAAGAUCCCUGAAAGAUGAUCAGGUUGAUAGGUCUGAGGUGGAAGUGUGGCGACACAUGGAGCUGACAGAUACUAAUCGAUCGAGGACUUAACCAAUUU
Molecule: ribosomal RNA, 245 nt
Filed under: Bacillus velezensis
Lineage: Bacteria; Bacillati; Bacillota; Bacilli; Caryophanales; Bacillaceae
Description: partial 23S ribosomal RNA
Rfam family: Bacterial large subunit ribosomal RNA
Source: RNAcentral